GUGUCAGCAGCCGCGCGGUAAUACCAGCUCCCCGAGUGGUCGGGACGUUUAUUGGGCCUAAAGCGCCCGUAGCCGGCCCGGCGUGUCUCCCGUCAAAUCCGCCGGCUCAACCGGCGGACCGCGGGGGAUACUAUCGGGCUAGGGGGCGGGAGAGGUCGGGGGUACUCCCGGGGUAGGGGUAAAAUCCUCUGAUCCCGGGAAGACCACCGGUGGCGAAGGCGUCCGGCCAGAACGCGCCCGACGGUGAGGGGCGAAAGCUGGGGGAGCGAACCGGAUUAGAUACCCGGGUAGUCCCAGCUGUAAACGAUGCGGGCUAGGUGCUGGAGGGGCUACGGGCCCCUCCAGUGCCGCAGGGAAGCCGUUAAGCCCGCCGCCUGGGGAGUACGGCCGCAAGGCUGAAACUUAAAGGAAUUGGCGGGGGGGCACACAAGGGGUGAAGCCUGCGGUUCAAUUGGAGUCAACGCCCGGAACCUUACCAGGGGUGACAGCAGAAUGACGGUCAGGUUAAAGACCUUACCUGACGCGCUGAGAGGAGGUGCAUGGCCGUCGCCGGCUCGUGCCGUGAGGUGUCCUGUUAAGUCAGGAAACGAGCGAGAUCCCCACCACCAGUUGCCAUUCCGUCCCCUCUAGGGGAUGGAAGGCGAACUGGUGGGACU
Molecule: ribosomal RNA, 656 nt
Filed under: uncultured Nitrososphaerota archaeon
Lineage: Archaea; Thermoproteati; Nitrososphaerota
Description: bacterial SSU rRNA
Rfam family: Archaeal small subunit ribosomal RNA
Source: RNAcentral